RNAcentral lists this ribosomal RNA (439 nucleotides) under uncultured bacterium. RNAcentral describes it as "partial 16S ribosomal RNA". It matches the Rfam family "Bacterial small subunit ribosomal RNA", at positions 339 to 795 of the family's 1533-position model. The record is from RNAcentral.
CUACGGGGCGCUGCAGUGGGGAAUAUUGGGCAAUGGGCGAAAGCCUGACCCAGCAACGCCGCGUGAAGGAAGAAGGCUUUCGGGUCGUAAACUUCUAUCCCAGGUGAAGAUAAUGACGGUAGCCUGGAAGGAAGCCCCGGCUAACUACGUGCCAGCAGCCGCGGUAAUACGUAGGGGGCAAGCGUUGUCCGGAAUGAUUGGGCGUAAAGGGCGCGUAGGCGGCCUUUUAAGUCCGAUGUGAAGGUCCUGCUUUUAAGGUGGGAAUUGCAUUGGAAACUGGAAGGCUUGAGUGCAGGAGAGGUAAGUGGAAUUCCCGGUGUAGCGGUGAAAUGCGUAGAGAUCGGGAGGAACACCAGUGGCGAAGGCGACUUACUGGACUGUAACUGACGCUGAGGCGCGAAAGUGUGGGGAGCAAACAGGAUUAGAUACCCUCGUAGUC